This 231-nucleotide ribosomal RNA is filed under the name uncultured bacterium. Its description in RNAcentral is "partial 16S ribosomal RNA". It matches the Rfam family "Bacterial small subunit ribosomal RNA", at positions 118 to 350 of the family's 1533-position model. The record is from RNAcentral.
UGGGCAACCUGCCCUCAGCUCUGGGAUAACCCCGGGAAACCGGGGCUAAUACCGGAUACGACCUCCGCGGGCAUCUGCGGAGGUGGAGAGGUUUUCCGGCUGAGGAUGGGCUCGCGGCCUAUCAGCUAGUUGGUGGGGUGAUGGCCCACCAAGGCGACGACGGGUAGCCGGCCUGAGAGGGCGACUGGCCACACUGGGACUGAGACACGGCCCAGACUCCUACGGGAGGCA